RNAcentral lists this ribosomal RNA (497 nucleotides) under uncultured bacterium. Its description in RNAcentral is "partial 16S ribosomal RNA". It matches the Rfam family "Bacterial small subunit ribosomal RNA", at positions 28 to 507 of the family's 1533-position model. The record is from RNAcentral.
GAUGAACGCUGGCGGCGUGCCUAAUACAUGCAAGUCGAGCGAACGGACGAGAAGCUUGCUUCUCUGAUGUUAGCGGCGGACGGGUGAGUAACACGUGGAUAACCUACCUAUAAGACUGGGAUAACUUCGGGAAACCGUAGCUAAUACCGGAUAAUAUUUUGAACCGCAUGGUUCAAAAGUGAAAGACGGCCUUGCUGUCACUUAUAGAUGGAUCCGCGCUGCAUUAGCUAGUUGGUAAGGUAACGGCUUACCAAGGCAACGAUGCAUAGCCGACCUGAGAGGGUGAUCGGCCACACUGGAACUGAGACACGGUCCAGACUCCUACGGGAGGCAGCAGUAGGGAAUCUUCCGCAAAGGGCGAAAGCCUGACGGAGCAACGCCGCGUGAGUGAUGAAGGUCUUCGGAUCGUAAAACUCUGUUAUUAGGGAAGAACAUAUGUGUAAGUAACUGUGCACAUCUUGACGGUACCUAAUCAGAAAGCCACGGCUAACUACGUG